This 305-nucleotide ribosomal RNA is filed under the name uncultured bacterium. RNAcentral's name for it is "bacterial SSU rRNA". It matches the Rfam family "Bacterial small subunit ribosomal RNA", at positions 337 to 642 of the family's 1533-position model. The record is from RNAcentral.
ACCUACGGGGCGCAGCAGUGGGGAAUAUUGCACAAUGGGGGGAACCCUGAUGCAGCGACGCCGCGUGAGUGAAGAAGUAUUUCGGUAUGUAAAGCUCUAUCAGCAGGGAAGAAAUAAAGUCCUUCGGACUUUGGACGGUACCUGACUAAGAAGCCCCGGCUAACUACGUGCCAGCAGCCGCGGUAAUACGUAGGGGGCAAGCGUUAUCCGGAUUUACUGGGUGUAAAGGGAGCGUAGGUGGCAAGGCAAGUCAGAUGUGAAAACCCGGGGCCCAACCCCGGGAGUGCAUUUGAAACUGUCUGGCU